This 24-nucleotide non-coding RNA is filed under the name Arabidopsis thaliana (thale cress). The record is from RNAcentral. Lineage: Eukaryota; Viridiplantae; Streptophyta; Magnoliopsida; Brassicales; Brassicaceae.
UACAGCUUGCUUAUUACCCUCGUC